UGGGGCAUAGCUGGCAGUAGUGCCGACAUCGGCAAGAGAGAGAUGAGAGAUAUGCGUAAAAAAUAGCAAGAAAAGAGAGAGGCAUACAAGGAGGAACUGCUGGGGAUUCAUCGACAUCCUCUUCCUGCACAGAGAAAAACCCAUCUCGUUUAACCCACACAUUCCAUUUGAAGUUAAAAAAAAAAAAGAAAAGGAAAGAACCCAGUAGAGAGAGAGAGGAGACCCGUUAUCGGCGAUUGAAGUGUUCAAAGAGUAUAGAGAGGAGCCGACCGACGGGUGCUGGUGCUGCUUCUGUGUGUGCUUCCGCUUCUGCUGUGUGUGCCGACGGCAGCUGCAGCUGCAGCUGCAGCUGCUGCUGUGUGUGGCAAACGGUGCGCCGCUGCUGCUGUGUGUCCGAAGGGUGCUGAUUUUGCCCAGGAAAAAAAUAAACAAAGGAAGGUCUUCACACAUAUGAGAAGGAUGACAGAGAUGAGAGGGAUAACGAGAGAGAUUCACAGAGAUGAGAGGGAUGAGAGACAGUGUAUUUCGUUUCAUAUUGUGUUCGUUUUGAGCUUAUAGACACAGAUAGGGAGGACAGAGAGAAAAUAUCGCUUUUCGGGCCAAGUUGGAGCCACCACUUUCGAGCUACCAAGCAAUUUUGUAAAAAAUAAUAUUACUUGCAUUUACAAGUGAAUAAACAAAAUAAUUUUGGUAGUACUUAUAUACUUGCUUUUUGGAUUUUUUUAGUUAAUGCACUUAGGAAGAUAUUUAAAAAAGGGUUCGGUUGAAAAUUUCAAUUUUGAAUUUUAUUUAUGCAAAGCCGAGGCAUUAAUUUAUUAUGCCUACAAGAAUAAUGUCUUAUGAAAUAACCAAACCACUUCAAUAUAUAUAUAUAUAUUAUUUUCUAAAUCAAACCCAAAUCAAACCAUAAUCUCUCUCCCCUCUCCCUCUCCCUCUCCCUCUCCUCUCCAACAAUGGCUUCAAUCAACAUCGGAUCUCGACUCUCCCCUUCAUCUUCUUCAACCAACCGCCAUUGUUGAAGAAGAUUGCAGAUUUUUUAGACAAUGCAUAUAUAUAAUAUAUACAUGUGCAGCACUAGCACUGUAACAGAUUUUAUGGAUCAUGGAUCAUAUGAAUAUAUUAGUCUGUAUGUCUAUAUAUAUAUGUAGGUAUGUAUAUAUAUUUGCUGUUGAAGGAAGCAUUGAAAUGCUAUAUCCCCAAUUGUCAGUGAUUAUUAUGAAUUUAAUCACUUUAUAUUUGAUUUUAAUUGACAAUUGAUUGUAGUAGCAUUUAAUAAAUUGUUGAAAACUGUUUCUUGUAUGAUCACAUUGUAGUGGUAAUGCAGGUGAAAUUAGUUUAAGGGGGACACUAGAGCUAUAGCUAGAGCUACUGGAAACACACACAAAACAUAUGCUCUCUCACAAACUUUUUUGCAGUCAGCAACUUUGACCAAGUUAAGUUCAAAAACAUGUUUAUGGGUAGAGGGUAGACCAACGGAUCAGAUAAAAUAAUUUGGGAUAAAAAAUUAAACAGAUAAAAACAAUGGAUAAUGCUUGGGACCCCCUCACCCCUUUUGUCACGUGGCGGGUGGUGAUUGGAGGAGCAGGAAAAAAAAGAAAAAGAAAAAGAAAAAGAAAAAGUAACCAAUGAGAAAGAGAGGGGGUCAAAGAGGGUGGGGAGAAAAGGAGGGAUGAAUCAUUGUUGAAAAACAAUUUAUAAAUUAAAAAGGAAAAUGCCCCAGACCCCAGUGGGGGUGGGUGACCCCACCACCCCUACUAUUUUUUAAUUGGCUCAAUUUAUUUUUUUAUUUUUAUUUUUUUCAAGUCUUGCUCUCAUAGCAAGACAUGUGGAGGUGAGGGUGCUGGGGUCCCUAGCACCGUUGAAUAAAAAAUUUGAAUAGAUAGAUCAAAUCUUUAUUUUUUUUAGAAACUCAUAGAAUUUAAACAGAUAGAGAGAGAAAUUCAUAGAUUUUGAACAGAUAGGGAAAAAAUUGAACAGCUAGAUAUAAAUUUGAACGGAUAAUAAAAAAAAGUCAAUAGAUCAAUUAAGGAGUAAAAUCGAAAAUAAAAUGUUUUUCAAAACUAAUAAAAUGACUUCUCACCAAAUUAUUUUACAAAUGAGAUGUCUCUCCAACAAGAAUAUCCACGGAACCUAAUGCCUUAUAUCCUCUUUAAAUUGGAUUUAUCACCAAUUUACUCUUAAAAAAUUUAUUUUUUUGUGAUUAAAAUUUUUUGAUGUGACAUAUAGAUUUUUUUUAGAUAAUGAAAAAUAACUUCGUGAUUUUUUUACCCUCUUUAAUAAAAGUUUAUUUUAACAUGGUACUAAAUGCUCGCCAAUCACUUGAAUUAGCGAAGGAAAAAUCAAUUAAUAAUUAUUUAGUAAUUUUGGAGUAAUGUUCUACUUUAUUUAUGUAGUGACACUUGUCUUGUUAUCUCUUAAAAAUUAACAUAAGAGUGACGAAUCACUAUUUAAAUUAAUAAAAAAUCAAGUUGAUUCAGUAGUUGUUGUUUUAGGAGUAUUAAAUAAUUUUUUUUCCAGAAAAAUCGUUUAAUUGAAGCAGGUUGACUAUAAAUACAUUGACUACAAGAAUACAAAAAUUUAGUUACAAAUUAAUAAUUCCACAGGGCAAAGCCGAGUUGUACUUAGUUUACACGUAUAUGCAAAAACUAGAGCAGAGUUGUAAUUAGUUCACACAGAUAUGCAACAAUUAAAGCAGAGUUAUACCUAAAAUUUUUCUGUUCUUGUAGUGAAUCUAUAUAUAGUCGACAUGUUUCGAGAUUUUUAUAUUUAAAAAUUCCUAUCACAAUGUGUAGAGGGCUCGAAUUUUUUGAAUUAAGAAAGGUAAGUAAAUUAUUUAAAUUGGAUUUGAAAACUAAAAAAGUUUUAAAAUAUAUUCUUCAAGAAGAUUUGAAAUGAGUAGUAAUCGAGCCGAUUACAAGCGAGCUCAAAGUAAUUUUACUGAUUUAAUGAAUUUUAAAAUGAGUUUAAAUUUAACUUAUUUACAUAACAAAUGAAUUUCAAAUUUCAAAUCAACUUUUACAAACCUUAUCAUAAGUAGAGUUCGAAUAACUGUGAUUUGAAAAUAAGUCGAGGAAAAACAUUAACUGAAGUUUUGUCAAUUAUUUAUUUAUUUAUUUUCAUUUGUCACCAAAAAAUUUCCAUUUAAAUCGAAGAUCUAAAUACAUUUGGACAGGAGGAUUCUUAACCAACAUCUCUAAUGAUAUACUACACUUAAAAAAAAAAUAAAAAAAAUAAAAAUAAAUAUAGCAUUCAAACCUAGAAGGUACUGUUAAA
Camellia sinensis is the source of this 3273-nucleotide long non-coding RNA. RefSeq lists it as uncharacterized. NCBI's taxonomy places the organism in Eukaryota, Viridiplantae, Streptophyta, Magnoliopsida, Ericales, Theaceae. The record is from RefSeq and is a predicted model, not a curated record.